Molecule: long non-coding RNA, 2171 nt
Organism: Passer montanus (Eurasian tree sparrow)
Lineage: Eukaryota; Metazoa; Chordata; Aves; Passeriformes; Passeridae
Exons: 3
Source: RefSeq, a predicted model, not a curated record
UUUGUUGGUUUUUUUUUGUUUUUUUUUACUUGAAACAAAGUCUCAGCACAGCAGCCCGAUGCACGGCGAUGCCAGGCAGUCGACGGUCUGAGAGAAGGACUAAGGCGCUAGUGCGGAUUUGUUGUCAGUGCUCUCUCCAGACCUGAAGCUGGAUGAGUUGGCGGAGCCCUCUGCAUGAUGCCUUGAGCAGCUGCUGUGAAGAACCACAGGGCAUUGAGAAGCUGAACACUACAUCCCAGUAGCCCUUUGUCAGUUCUUUGGCCAUGAGUUCCAUGAGUCACAGUGAAGUGCUGCAGCUAGACCUUUAAUUGUUGACACGCUGCUUUAUGGAGCUGCUCAGAAGUACAUAAAUUCUGUUAGACAGAUGAUUGUGUAAGACCUCUUCAUCUGGAACAAAACUGAUCCUGCUACUUUUUUAUUAUUCUUUCUUUACAUAGGCUAUCUACAGCUGUCUGAAGAUAUCAGGUAUCAGGAGUAACAGUCCAAAUGUAAGGCAUUCUCCAUUCCAUGUUUGUGCAAAAUAUAAGAAUAAUGCCUAUUUACCUGGUACUACUUUAAUUUUCAUUUGAGAUGUUUUGUGAAAAUUAUAAAUUAACUUUUCCCUGGUCAAAAAGGCAUUUAUAUGCAAGUGUUUAUUGUUUUUAUUGCUUUAAAUAAAUAAAUAAAUAACAUGAAAACCCAAGUUCUAAAUCAAAACAUUAAAAGAGUAGUGAAGCAUUUGUUCUCUGAAAGAAAACCUAGUAGAUUUGUGUCCUUGUUGUUCUGAAGUGCCAAAUAUUUUAUAUAGACUUAUAAGGAAAUAAAUCCAAAUACUAGAAUUUUUGAAUACUGGAAAAGAAACAGCUUAAAAAUAGCACAUAUGGUCAGUUGAUGAAACUUUUGGUUCACCAUGCCUGAUUAUUCUGUUAUACAACUAAUUUUAGAAAUUCUUCUGCAUGCAGUGAAAAGAACUACUGUUUCCUAAUUUUGCAUGUUGAUAUUAUUAUUUCCCUAUAUAAAAAGUCCUUUUUAUAUAGGGAAAUAACAAUAUCAGGCUUUCUUUAAACAAUGUAGUGGGUUGGCAAGGCUCUGGUAGUGGGAAGAUACAGGAGUGGCUCCUGUGAGAACUUGCUAGACGUUUUCUGCAUGUCAGAUAGAUCCAAUGCCAGCCAGAUCCAAUAUGAACCCAUCCCUGUUCAAGGCCAAGCCCAUCACCAAAGGUUGUAGCACUUCUGGGGUAAUGUGUUUAAGACAGGGAAAAAAGUUAUUGCGUAGGAGCAAUUGCAGCCAGAGAGAAGAAUGAGAACAUAUGGGAGGAACAGCUCUGCAGACUCUAAAGUCAGUGCAGAAUGAGGAGCAGGAACUACUCCAGGUUCCAGAGCUGAGAUUCCCCUGCAUCCCAUGGUGCAGCCCAUGGUGAGGCAGUUGUGCCCCUGCAGCCCAUGGAGGGCCAUGGGGAUGCAGAGAUCCACCUGUGGCCUGUGGAGGAUCCCCAUGCCUGAGCAGAUGGAUGCCUGACAGAGGCUGUGACCCCAUGGAAAACCCUGCUGGAGCAGGCUUCUGGCAGGACCUGUGGAAAGAGGAGCACAUGCUGGAGAAAGUUUGCUGGGCAGGAUUUGCUGCAGUGGACCUAUGCUUGAGCAGGUUGUGCCUGAAGGACUGCACUCAGUGGAAGGGACACAGACUGGAGCAGUUUGUGAAUAACUGCAGCCCAGAGAAAGGACUCAUAUUGAAGAAGUUCGUAGACUGUCUUCCACAGAAGAAACAUCACACUGCAGGAAGUGAAGAGUGUGAGGAAUUCUUCCUCAGAGGAGAAAGGAGAGAUAAAGACAAUGUGCAAUGAACUGACCUCAAUCCUGAUUCCCUGAGAAGUCAGGCAUAAAGUUGAGCUUGCGAAGAAGGGAUGGGUGGGGAGGAUGUGUUUUAAGAUUUGGUUUUAUUCCUCAUUACCUUGCUCUGAUAUGAUUGGUAAUAAAUUAGUUUCCCCAAGUCAAAUCUGGUUUUGCCCAUGACAGUAACAGCUGAGUGAUCUCUUCCUAUGCUUGUAUCAAACUGUGAGGCUCUUUUAAUUUUCUUCUCCCUUGUUCAGUUGAGGAAGGGUAAUGAUAAGAGUGACUUGGGUGGGCACAUGGCAUCCAGCCAGGGUCUACCCACCACAGACACUCAUUUAUGGGAUCUUGUGGUUGUGGCCU